This 327-nucleotide ribosomal RNA is filed under the name uncultured bacterium. RNAcentral describes it as "bacterial SSU rRNA". It matches the Rfam family "Bacterial small subunit ribosomal RNA", at positions 29 to 377 of the family's 1533-position model. The record is from RNAcentral.
AACGAACGCUGGCGGCAUGCCUAACACAUGCAAGUCGAACGGGAUCCUAGCUUGCUAGGUGAGAGUGGCGGACGGGUGAGUAACACGUGGGAAUCUGCCUUUUGGUUCGGGAUAACCGCGGGAAACUGCGGCUAAUACCGAAUGCCCUCGAGAGAGGAAAGAUUUAUCGCCAGAAGAGGAGCCCGCGUCCGAUUAGGUAGUUGGUGGGGUAAAGGCCUACAAGCCGACGAUCGGUAGCUGGUCUGAGAGGAUGAUCAGCCACACUGGGACUGAGAUACGGCCCAGACUCCUACGGGAGGCAGCAGUGGGAAUAUUGGACAAUGGGGG